Molecule: ribosomal RNA, 618 nt
Filed under: bacterium 94-L049658-122-015-F12
Lineage: Bacteria
Description: bacterial SSU rRNA
Rfam family: Bacterial small subunit ribosomal RNA
Source: RNAcentral
GCAGUCGAACGAUGAUCCCAGCUUGCUGGGGGAUUAGUGGCGAACGGGUGAGUAACACGUGAGUAACCUGCCCUUGACUCUGGGAUAAGCCUGGGAAACUGGGUCUAAUACCGGAUAUGACUCCUCAUCGCAUGGUGGGGGGUGGAAAGCUUUUGUGGUUUUGGAUGGACUCGCGGCCUAUCAGCUUGUUGGUGGGGUAAUGGCCUACCAAGGCGACGACGGGUAGCCGGCCUGAGAGGGUGACCGGCCACACUGGGACUGAGACACGGCCCAGACUCCUACGGGAGGCAGCAGUGGGGAAUAUUGCACAAUGGGCGCAAGCCUGAUGCAGCGACGCCGCGUGAGGGAUGACGGCCUUCGGGUUGUAAACCUCUUUCAGUAGGGAAGAAGCGUAAGUGACGGUACCUGCAGAAGAAGCGCCGGCUAACUACGUGCCAGCAGCCGCGGUAAUACGUAGGGCGCAAGCGUUAUCCGGAAUUAUUGGGCGUAAAGAGCUCGUAGGCGGUUUGUCGCGUCUGCUGUGAAAGACCGGGGCUCAACUCCGGUUCUGCAGUGGGUACGGGCAGACUAGAGUGCAGUAGGGGAGACUGGAAUUCCUGGUGUAGCGGUGAAAUGCGC